AAUCUUUCUAGUAUUAAUGCUAAGUACAAGUGACUUCCAAUCACUCAGUCUUGGUUAAACUCCAAGGAAAGAUA
This 74-nucleotide transfer RNA is filed under the name Papyrocranus congoensis. RNAcentral's name for it is "tRNA-Gly". It matches the Rfam family "tRNA". Rfam says of the family: Transfer RNA (tRNA) molecules are approximately 80 nucleotides in length. Their secondary structure includes four short double-helical elements and three loops (D, anti-codon, and T loops). Further hydrogen bonds mediate the characteristic L-shaped molecular structure. tRNAs have two regions of fundamental functional importance: the anti-codon, which is responsible for specific mRNA codon recognition, and the 3' end, to which the tRNAs corresponding amino acid is attached (by aminoacyl-tRNA synthetases). tRNAs cope with the degeneracy of the genetic code in two manners: having more than one tRNA (with a specific anti-codon) for a particular amino acid; and 'wobble' base-pairing, i.e. permitting non-standard base-pairing at the 3rd anti-codon position. The record is from RNAcentral. Lineage: Eukaryota; Metazoa; Chordata; Actinopteri; Osteoglossiformes; Notopteridae.